Molecule: ribosomal RNA, 111 nt
Filed under: uncultured eukaryote
Lineage: Eukaryota
Description: partial small subunit ribosomal RNA
Rfam family: Eukaryotic small subunit ribosomal RNA
Source: RNAcentral
GUCGCACCUACCGAUUGAACGGUCCGGUGAGGCCUCGGGAUUGUGACCAGUUCACUUCAUUGUGAGUUGGUUGUGAGAACUUGUCCAAACCUUAUCAUUUAGAGGAAGGUG